This 235-nucleotide ribosomal RNA is filed under the name Triticum aestivum (bread wheat). Its description in RNAcentral is "partial small subunit ribosomal RNA". Lineage: Eukaryota; Viridiplantae; Streptophyta; Magnoliopsida; Poales; Poaceae. The record is from RNAcentral.
UCCUUUACAGUAUGAGCCUGCUGCUUUCAGAGGACCCCCUCACGAAGACCACGGUGCUGCUGGCCCCAAAGACGCUGUCCGGAGUGGACCUGCUUCUAGCCGCGAAGUCGUAAUUCGAGCUCCUCCGGAAGCUAACACUAUGCGAAUAGGGUUCGGUACGUUCUGCGAUACAGAACCUCUCCUACCCAAAACUUCUAGUACUCUCCUUACUUUGUUUCUUUUAAUUGGAUUCCUG